This 253-nucleotide ribosomal RNA is filed under the name uncultured bacterium. RNAcentral's name for it is "partial 16S ribosomal RNA". It matches the Rfam family "Bacterial small subunit ribosomal RNA", at positions 524 to 776 of the family's 1533-position model. The record is from RNAcentral.
UACGGGGGGGGCAAGCGUUGUUCGGAAUUACUGGGCGUAAAGGGCUUGUAGGUGGCCAACUAAGUCAGACGUGAAAUCCCUCGGCUUAACCGGGGAACUGCGUCUGAUACUGGAUGGCUUGAGUGUGGGAGAGGGAUGCGGAAUUCCAGGUGUAGCGGUGAAAUGCGUAGAUAUCUGGAGGAACACCGGUGGCGAAGGCGGCAUCCUGGACCAUUACUGACACUGAUAAGCGAAAGCCAGGGGAGUAAACGGG